Molecule: unclassified non-coding RNA, 1575 nt
Filed under: Hevea brasiliensis (rubber tree)
Lineage: Eukaryota; Viridiplantae; Streptophyta; Magnoliopsida; Malpighiales; Euphorbiaceae
Source: RNAcentral
GAGGAGGAGGAGGAGAAGAGGAGGCUCCCCUGCUCACAAGAAACUCUGAGAUGUCAGUGUAGCCAAGUGCUAUAGCCAUGGAGAGUGGAGUAGCACCUCGGUUGCUCUUGGCAUUAACAUUAGCUCCUCUGCCGACCAACACCUCAACUGUCUCUAAACUGCCACUUUCCACUGCCAAAUGCAAGGGGACAUGGCCUUCAUUGUCCUGGCAUUCCAAAUCUACACCAAAUUCAACUAGCAUUGAUACUAUGUUCUUGUGCCCUUUGAUUGCUGCUGCAUGCAAGGCUGUGAUACCAUAUUGAUCCUUAUAGUUUUUGCUUGCACCUUUCUUUAAUAACGAUUCAAGGUGUUCCAAUCUCCCUUGCCUUGCUGCCAUUAGCACUACUUCCCCACGUUCCAGAGUCUCCAAAAUCUCAUCCUGCAUUGUCAUCAAUAAAGAAUGAUUCUUGAUAUUUUGAAGAUAAAAUAUGGAACUAAAUUUCUAGUUGGAUUCCCUACUUUGUAGCACACUUACAUAUCCCUUAUCUCGCGCAACAUCAAAAGCUGAACGGCCGCGAUCAUCUGCAAUGGUGGGGUCGCAACCCAUCUCAAUUAGCAUCUCUACCAUCCUACGGUCACCAUUUGCCGCUGCUCUGUACAGUGCAGUCCUACCGUCGUUGCUCUUAGCAUCCUUGUCUGCACCCGAUUCCACUAACACCCUAGCACACUUGAUAUUCCCCCUACUUGCCGCCAAAUGCAACGGUGUCCUUCCUUCCUUAUCUCUCAAAUCCAAAGGCCCAAAACUAUCCAAUGAAUCUAGAACCUCUUCCGUCCUAUCCAAUGCGAUCGCCACGUGUAGAUCACUCCAGCCCUUGGAUUGCCAUUUUGGAUCCACCUGAUAAAAACUCACAUUCUCCGCUUUCGCACGUGAGUCAAUCUUCAACCCAGCUUCAAGCAGUAAGUUCACCAUACCCUCCGGGUCAGCCAGCUCGGUGGCAACUCGGAGGAGCGACUCAGCAUCUCUCGGAGACAACUCAGCAAGAAUCGACCUUUGCCUCUUUAUUAUAUUCUUCGCGGAGUUAACAUCUCCACAGCUGACAGCGUGGCGGAGAAGAAAGGGACCUACGAAGGCUACCUUGAGCUUAAGAUCUUGAGUUGACCAGUGAGGAAGAGAAGAGAACCACGAGUUGAGAGAAUCGGGGUGAGUCGAGUCGGAAGAGUCUGGGGAAAACGGUGCCGUUUUGAUGAGGAAACGAUCAGAUGGAGACCGAGGGAAAGAGGGUGGGAGAUGGGUUUGGGGUCUGAGUAUGAUUUGAAAGGUGGUAAAGGAUGAAGGAGGAAUAAGCCCAGUCGGUGGGUUAACCAGGAACUUGUGAGGCGAUGACGUUUGCACCUUGAAGGCUAUUUGGGUGGUGGCAGAGAGAGACCUGAGGCGGACGUUGGCUCGGCAUUUGGAAUUGAGCAUAAAGUCUAGACGAACCUCUGAGUCUGAUACUUCGACAAGCGGCCUCUCCAUGGGAGAUAUAGGGAAAGAGAAGUCAGAAGCGGCCGGUUUAUUGUGUUGAUUAACGGAGAGGGAAGAUUUUAGUAUUGGAG